CAGAGGGUGCGAGCGUUGUUCGGAAUUACUGGGCGUAAAGCGCGCGCAGGCGGCCCUUUAAGUCCGUCGGUCAAAUGCCGGGGCUCAACCCCGAGCGUGCCGAGGAUACUGGAGGGCUGGAGACACGUAGAGGCAAGCGGAAUUCCGGGUGUAGCGGUGGAAUGCGUAGAGAUCCGGAAGAACACCGGAGGCGAAGGCGGCUUGCUGGGCGUGAUCUGACGCUGAGGCGCGAAAGCGUGGGGAGCGAACAGGAUUAGAUACCCUGGUAGUCCACGCCGUAAACGAUGGGCACUAGACGCUGGUGGGAUCGACCCCUUCGGUGUCGCAGCUAACGCGAUAAGUGCCCCGCCUGGGGAGUACGGCCGCAAGGCUG
RNAcentral lists this ribosomal RNA (373 nucleotides) under uncultured organism. Its description in RNAcentral is "bacterial SSU rRNA". It matches the Rfam family "Bacterial small subunit ribosomal RNA", at positions 526 to 896 of the family's 1533-position model. The record is from RNAcentral.